GAGGAAUAUUGGUCAAUGGAGGCAACUCUGAACCAGCCAAGUCGCGUGAAGGAUGAAGGUCUUAUGGAUUGUAAACUUCUUUUUCAAGGGAAUAAAGUGGGGGACGUGUCCUCCUUUGCAUGUACCUUGCGAAUAAGGAUCGGCUAACUCCGUGCCAGCAGCCGCGGUAAUACGGAGGAUCCGAGCGUUAUCCGGAUUUAUUGGGUUUAAAGGGUGCGCAGGCGGGAUGUUAAGUCGGCGGUGAAAUUUUGCAGCUCAACUGUAAAAGUGCCUUCGAUACUGGCUUCCUUGAGUGUGGAUGAAGUAGGCGGAAUUUGUGGUGUAGCGGUGAAAUGCUUAGAUAUCACGAGGAACUCCGAUUGCGCAGGCAGCUUACUAAACCACUACUGACGCUCAUGCACGAAGGCGUGGGGAUCAAAC
This 420-nucleotide ribosomal RNA is filed under the name uncultured bacterium. RNAcentral's name for it is "bacterial SSU rRNA". It matches the Rfam family "Bacterial small subunit ribosomal RNA", at positions 356 to 773 of the family's 1533-position model. The record is from RNAcentral.